GAUACUACCCUAGCUGUGUUGGCUUUCUAACCCGCACCACUUAUCGUGGUGGGAGACAGUGUCAGGCGGGCAGUUUGACUGGGGCGGUCGCCUCCUAAAAGGUAACGGAGGCGCUCAAAGGUUCCCUCAGAAUGGUUGGAAAUCAUUCAUAGAGUGUAAAGGCAUAAGGGAGCUUGACUGCGAGACCUACAAGUCGAGCA
This 200-nucleotide ribosomal RNA is filed under the name Staphylococcus haemolyticus. Its description in RNAcentral is "partial 23S rRNA". It matches the Rfam family "Bacterial large subunit ribosomal RNA", at positions 2196 to 2395 of the family's 2925-position model. The record is from RNAcentral. Lineage: Bacteria; Bacillati; Bacillota; Bacilli; Caryophanales; Staphylococcaceae.